CUAUGAAACUGCCAUUGAUACUGCAGGUCUUGAGUAAAGUAGAAGUGGCUGGAAUAAGUAGUGUAGCGGUGAAAUGCAUAGAUAUUACUUAGAACACCAAUUGCGAAGGCAGGUCACUAUGUUUUAACUGACGCUGAUGGACGAAAGCGUGGGGAGCGAACAGGAUUAGAUACCCUGGUAGUCCACGCCGUAAACGAUGCUAACUCGUUUUUGGGUUUUCGGAUUCAGAGACUAAGCGAAAGUGAUAAGUUAGCCACCUGGGGAGUACGUUCGCAAGAAUGAAACUCAAAGGAAUUGACGGGGGCCCGCACAAGCGGUGGAUUAUGUGGUUUAAUUCGAUGAUACGCGAGGAACCUUACCAAGGCUUAAAUGGGAAUUGACAGGUUUAGAAAUAGACUUUUCUUCGGACAAUUUUCAAGGUGCUGCAUGGUUGUCGUCAGCUCGUGCCGUGAGGUGUUAGGUUAAGUCCUGCAACGAGCGCAACCCCUGUCACUAGUUGCCAUCAUUCAGUUGGGGACUCUAGUGAGACUGCCUACGCAAGUAGAGAGGAAGGUGGGGAUGACGUCAAAUCAUCACGGCCCUUACGCCUUGGGCCACACACGUAAUACAAUGGCCGGUACAGAGGGCAGCUACCUAGCGAUAGGAUGCGAAUCUCGAAAGCCGGUCUCAGUUCGGAUUGGAGUCUGCAACUCGACUCUAUGAAGCUGGAAUCGCUAGUAAUCGCGCAUCAGCCAUGGCGCGGUGAAUACGUUCCCGGGCCUUGUACACACCGCCCGUCAAGCCAUGGAAGUUUGGGGUACCUGAAGUCGGUGACC
Molecule: ribosomal RNA, 815 nt
Filed under: bacterium C5-2
Lineage: Bacteria
Description: bacterial SSU rRNA
Rfam family: Bacterial small subunit ribosomal RNA
Source: RNAcentral